This 408-nucleotide ribosomal RNA is filed under the name uncultured bacterium. Its description in RNAcentral is "bacterial SSU rRNA". It matches the Rfam family "Bacterial small subunit ribosomal RNA", at positions 354 to 777 of the family's 1533-position model. The record is from RNAcentral.
GUGGGGGAUAUUGCACAAUGGGGGAAACCCUGAUGCAGCAAUGCCGCGUGAGGGAAGAAGGUCUUCGGAUUGUAAACCUAAGUUGUCAGGGACGAACAAAUGACGGUACCUGAAGAGAAAGCUCCGGCUAACUACGUGCCAGCAGCCGCGGUAAUACGUAGGGAGCGAGCGUUGUCCGGAUUUACUGGGUGUAAAGGGUGCGUAGGCGGGAUGGCAAGUUAGAUGUGAAAUACCGAGGCUUAACUUCGGGGCUGCAUUUAAAACUGUCGUUCUUGAGUGAAGUAGAGGCAGGCGGAAUUCCUAGUGUAGCGGUGAAAUGCGUAGAUAUUAGGAGGAACACCAGUGGCGAAGGCGGCCUGCUGGGCUUUAACUGACGCUGAUGCACGAAAGCAUGGGGAGCAAACAGGA